Molecule: ribosomal RNA, 495 nt
Filed under: Opsius stactogalus
Lineage: Eukaryota; Metazoa; Arthropoda; Insecta; Hemiptera; Cicadellidae
Description: partial 16S ribosomal RNA
Source: RNAcentral
UCAGAUAUUAAAAGUCGAACAGACUGUGAAAUAAAGAAUGCUGCUUCUCUAACUAAUCUUAAUUCAACAUCGAGGUCGCAAAAAAUGAUAUAAAUAUGAACUCCCCAUCAUAAUUACGCUGUUAUCCCUAAGGUAACUUAAUCUUAUAAUUCUUAAUAAAGGUCUAAUUAUACACAUAUAAGUGAUUAAUAAAACUAAAGUUUAAAUUUAGCUACCACCCCAAUAAAAUAAUUGACCUAAAAAUUUAUAAUAAUAAAUAUAAACUAUAAGAUCAAAUAUAAAGUUCUAUAGGGUCUUAUCGUCCCAAGAAAAAAUUUAAGCAUUUUAACUUAAAAUUUAAAUUCUAAAAAUGAAAUUAAUAAAACCCAAUUCUCAUAUAUCCAUUCAUUCAAGCUCCUAAUUAAGAAACUAAUUACUAUGCUACCUUUGCACAGUCAAAAUACUGCAGCCAUUUAAAAAUUUUUCAUAGGGCAGAAAUUACCUUUUAAAAACCCA